RNAcentral lists this ribosomal RNA (253 nucleotides) under uncultured bacterium. RNAcentral describes it as "partial 16S ribosomal RNA". It matches the Rfam family "Bacterial small subunit ribosomal RNA", at positions 524 to 776 of the family's 1533-position model. The record is from RNAcentral.
UACAGAGGUCCCAAGCGUUGUUCGGAUUCACUGGGCGUAAAGGGUGCGUAGGUGGCGGGGUCAGUCUGACGUGAAAUCUCCGGGCUUAACCCGGAAAUGGCGUUGGAAACUACCUUGCUUGAGGGUUGGAGGGGGGACUGGAAUACUUGGUGUAGCAGUGAAAUGCGUAGAUAUCAAGUGGAACACCAGUGGUGAAGGCGAGUCCCUGGACAACUCCUGACACUGAGGCACGAAAGCUAGGGGAGCAAACGGG